Molecule: unclassified non-coding RNA, 425 nt
Filed under: Hevea brasiliensis (rubber tree)
Lineage: Eukaryota; Viridiplantae; Streptophyta; Magnoliopsida; Malpighiales; Euphorbiaceae
Source: RNAcentral
AUAAAAUUUUGUAUGGUAUUUUCUCAAUCCCAAUUAGCUUUCUCUCGAGUGAGUAAUGAAAUAGAUAAUUUAAUUAAUCAUGCUAAAGAAUUAAAUCAAGAACUUGAAUCUCUUUCCCUAACUACUGUGGAUCUUUUGGGACAACCAUCUGGAAAAUACGAUUAUUGGAUAACUUAUUCUGCUCCUCCAUCAGCAAGCAUUCCCAGUUCAUCCAUUAUUCCUACUGGUUGGGAUGACGACUAUAGCACUGUAAGUAUCUAUAGAUUUAACUAAUAGAAUAGAUUUAACUAAUAGAAGAGAGGUAGAACUAUUAAGGACUGAGUUAAUUAGUGAAGGUACAAAUCUGUUUAAUCAACAUUUAGAAACCCAUAGUGAACUCUGUGAUUGUCGUGAGCAUCUGUGUACUUUAGCUUUGUUUAAUAUAA